AUUGAACGCUGGCGGCAGGCCUAACACAUGCAAGUCGAGCGGAUGAAGGGAGCUUGCUCCUGGAUUCAGCGGCGGACGGGUGAGUAAUGCCUAGGAAUCUGCCUGGUAGUGGGGGAUAACGUCCGGAAACGGGCGCUAAUACCGCAUACGUCCUGAGGGAGAAAGUGGGGGAUCUUCGGACCUCACGCUAUCAGAUGAGCCUAGGUCGGAUUAGCUAGUUGGUGGGGUAAAGGCCUACCAAGGCGACGAUCCGUAACUGGUCUGAGAGGAUGAUCAGUCACACUGGAACUGAGACACGGUCCAGACUACUAAGGGAGGCAGCAGUGGGGAAUAUUGGACAAUGGGCGAAAGCAUGAUACAGCCAUGCCGAGUGUGUGAAGAAGGUCUUCGGAUUGUAAAGCACUUUAAGUUGGGAGGAAGGGCAGUAAGUUAAUACCUUGCUGUUUUGACGUUAACAACAGAAUAAGCACCGGCUAACUUCGUG
RNAcentral lists this ribosomal RNA (484 nucleotides) under uncultured bacterium. RNAcentral's name for it is "partial 16S ribosomal RNA". It matches the Rfam family "Bacterial small subunit ribosomal RNA", at positions 30 to 507 of the family's 1533-position model. The record is from RNAcentral.